GACAUGUUCCUGUUGCCAGUGCCCCGUUUCACUAAGCUCUCGUAAGCCUGAGAUCUCGCAACUUUCCGUGUAGCAUUCCUACCUCCUAUACUGUAACAUAGACUUACGGCAGUUGUAGUGCUACGGUAGC
Haliotis rubra (blacklip abalone) is the source of this 130-nucleotide long non-coding RNA. RefSeq lists it as uncharacterized. Lineage: Eukaryota; Metazoa; Mollusca; Gastropoda; Lepetellida; Haliotidae. The transcript has 3 exons. The record is from RefSeq and is a predicted model, not a curated record.